UCAGCACUUAGUAUCAGCAAGUGUCUCGCUAAUGACUUGCAUCUCCGAGACAUGACUUGCAUCUCGCUUAUAGCAACGCAGCACGGCCGACACCCUGUUAUUGCUUCCGCUCUGUCCACAUCGGGUCAUAUAAAUGUUUGUCUGGCUUUGUCUUCACUUCAUCAGCCAUGGACAGAACUUUGCUAUUUGUCCUGUUGGGUCUGCAGGCUUUCCUGCUCAUCACAGCCUUCACUUCUACUGAUGCAAUCGCUCAGGGAGGAAAAACAGUGAGAAAUUGGCCUGGCUGCUGGAAAAGACCAGGAGCAUGUGGUCACUACAAAACACGUCAGGAGGGAGAAAAGGUCUUUGUCAGGAUGUGACCACAUAAUUGGAGCAUUUGGACCAAUAGUUUCUCAGUAGUAACUGGCACCAUGUUUCCACUUGACUACCGACAAGAGAACCUCAGCGCUCCACUCCUCGUACCGUAUCUCAUAAAGGAUCAACCCAAGAACAGAUCUGAUCUGCAAAAACUAGUUUCUGCCUAAAUGCUGCAUAUGUUGUAUAUUUCCAUUGUUAUUCUUAUGGACAAAAAGUGGUUUUAAAUUGUUUAUUUUUUGGCCUACAGGAGAAGUGCAUUUGUAUUGUAGUGCUUGUGAAUGUGCACUUAUUUAUCAUGUUCACAAUACAGGAGAAACAAAGCGACAUUUGCUUCAGCUCUAUCCUCAAUUAGUUGUUUUAUUUUAAUCAGUUAAUAAAAAGAAGCAGAUUACAGUAUUAAAAUAGC
Morone saxatilis (striped sea-bass) is the source of this 763-nucleotide long non-coding RNA. RefSeq lists it as uncharacterized. Lineage: Eukaryota; Metazoa; Chordata; Actinopteri; Moronidae. The transcript is spliced from 4 exons. The record is from RefSeq and is a predicted model, not a curated record.